UAGGGAAUCUUCGGCAAUGGGGGGAACCCUGACCGAGCAACGCCGCGUGAGUGAAGACGGUUUUCGGAUCGUAAAGCUCUGUUGUUAAGGAAGAACGAGUGUGAGAAUGGAAAGUUCAUGCUGUGACGGUACUUAACCAGAAAGGGACGGCUAACUACGUGCCAGCAGCCGCGGUAAUACGUAGGGGGCUAGCGUUAUCCGGAUUUACUGGGCGUAAAGGGUGCGUAGGUGGUCUUUCAAGUCGGUGGUUAAAGGCUACGGCUCAACCGUAGUUAGCCUCCGAAACUGGAAGACUUGAGUGCAGGAGAGGAAAGUGGAAUUCCCAGUGUAGCGGUGAAAUGCGUAGAUAUUGGGAGGAACACCAGUAGCGAAGGCGGCUUUCUGGACUGCAACUGACACUGAGGCACGAAAGCGUGGGUAGCAAACAGG
RNAcentral lists this ribosomal RNA (429 nucleotides) under Verrucomicrobiota bacterium. RNAcentral describes it as "Verrucomicrobia bacterium partial 16S ribosomal RNA". It matches the Rfam family "Bacterial small subunit ribosomal RNA", at positions 355 to 776 of the family's 1533-position model. Lineage: Bacteria; Pseudomonadati; Verrucomicrobiota. The record is from RNAcentral.